AUUUAUUUUAUAUUGUUUUAAUUAUCUCAACAAUAUGAUCAUUCAGAGAAAGGCAUUCUUGACCAUGAAGAAAACUGUGAUGAAUGAUCAAGAUAAAAAUUGUCAUUUCAGAGUCUACUUUAGAAAGCUUCCCUCUUGCCAAGAAAUUGACAUCAUAGGUGACACUGGCAGCUUCAUAUUAUCAUGAAUCAUCUAUGACAGAAGAGUUUCCAUCCUAGUUUGAGAAUACAUACUAAUAAUAUGUAAUUAAUUACUAAGUUUCUAUUUUCCAGAUUAUUAAAAAACAUUAACAAGUCCUCAUAGCAACACUCGUCUCAUUUUUCAUGCAGAGAAAAGAACAGGCUGACUAGGUACUUAACAUUUACUUGGCCAACCGUGUCAUCUGCUCCACUCAAGGCACAGUUACUUGACUUCCCCCCUCCUAAAGUCCCAAGUGCUGUCAUCUGCAAAAUAAGCUGCUGGUGCUUUUCACUGUCCAUGAAAACUUUCCUGACAACACCCAAAUCUUCUUUUGCUUGUGAGAAAUGUUUUGCUUUGGACCUUCCAAAACAAGCCUGAAGGCAUUUUGGUGGUACAGACCAUAUGGCAAAAUUGCUAAAUUAUUAAAUCUACAGACUGGUAUACAAGCAAUGCUUUGAAUUUAUCCACCAACCAAAGAAUUGCCAAGCUGUAUGAUGCAUUCAGCUUGUGGAUGUGAACUGGAUUGGAAACAUGCAUGAGAAGGAACAGGCGAGUAAAGACGGGCCUCCAGACAGUAUGCAAGUACAGACAAAAGGAACAGGAACAGUAUAAACCUGAGACCUGGUACAUAGAGACAUCCUCCGAGAGAUCCUUGAGACAGAUACCUUGAGAACCAUUUUGAGAACCAACCUUUAAGAAGCAUUUGAAUUGGAAAAAGCUGAAAAUGAGUUCUUCAAUGAACACCCAUCACAAUGUCAUAACUUGUAGGUAAAAAGCAAACAGACAAAUCCAUCGUUAACUUUGGCAGAGAGAAUUCUCAACAUUGACUAUUCAUUUCUAUCAUUAAAAUGCAAUUUUAAGCCAAUCGGUGGUAUCAGUUGAAGUUCAUGGUUUAUGGUGCCAGUGACUGAUAAAAAUAACAGACUGCUUUCCUUUUUUGUGACAUGCCCUCUGACUCAUAGGUAGGCAGCUAGUGGCUCUUGGUUACGCAAGUGUAACUUUGCAAAAUUCAGUGAAGUUAGUCCAGAUUUCCAUGAGUAAAAAUGCAUUUGUAUGGCCAACUGACUCAGCUGAUAUCCUUUUACUCUAGUGUAAGAUUAUCACCUUAUCUUAAUCUUACAUCAGAGACAGGAUUUUCUAAGAGUUCUUUAUAAACUGUAGAGUCAUGUAACAGAGUAAUUAAUCAGGUAUUCGGACAGCAGCUAUAACUUCCGUUUGCAGUAGAGAUCUGACAUCUCUUUACACUAGUUUUAGUCUAAUAAAAAUCUGUGGUGGAGAAUCAUACCUUUAUUUCAGUUCCUAAACUCUCCAAUGACACUGACAGCUGAAACAAUCAAGUCCUGCACAGAAUUUGAGGAAAUGGUUUCUUCUUUAUUUUGUGGAUGAUACUUUUAGUCUUUAUUAACGACCCCACAUAUGCUUUGUUUUUCUCUGACAGCUUGAACAAGUCAAUGCAAUCUAUAGUAGUUUCACUGAAUUGUACUUAUCUCUGUCUGAAUGUUAUGUGGUACUUAACAAAUAACUAACAAAAGUCAACAUAUAUUUUAUCCUGUGCAAUUUCCUCUAUUCUUUAAAAAAAACAACUACUUUGGCAUGAUACUGUGUUAUGAGUAUGUGUUGCCUUCAUCCCGUUUUGUACCACUGCUUAUGAAUUGAAUGAUAGUUAGAAUUUCAGAAGAAAUUUCAGGAUAUAAGUAAUGGAUAAGGCAUACCCAUUACAAUCUCCAACCCUUUGCUGCUAGCCAGACCAUGGGAAAGGAAAGGAGCUCAUUGCAAUGUUAAACCCUGUAGCUUGGUCUGAAGGAACCAGGGGUGGAGAUUGUGAUGGAUUCCUCUAAACUGUUGUAACCCACGAUCUGAAUUGCAUGUUAUAGGAAAUUCCUAUAGCACGAACCACUCAAACCAAUGGAGGAUGAGCCUUGCAAGACAGAUAGCAAGUGCAGCAGUGACCCGACCUGAGCUGGCUUUGGCAUCCAAUAACUCCAUGCAACACACCACCUUUCCUGUCCUGAAUGACCACCAUAACAGAUGAGUUCUUUUAGUCAUGGACUAAAAGAACUCAGUGGACGUUUUAUGAACAUUUUAUGAACAUUUCAAAGAGGUGAUCCUUAGACCAAGGGAAUGAUAUCUGUGUAUUAAUUAAAGGGUGGUGAUUAAUGA
Long non-coding RNA from Cygnus olor (mute swan), 2340 nucleotides. RefSeq lists it as uncharacterized. NCBI's taxonomy places the organism in Eukaryota, Metazoa, Chordata, Aves, Anseriformes, Anatidae. The transcript is spliced from 4 exons. The record is from RefSeq and is a predicted model, not a curated record.